UACGUAGGGCGCGAGCGUUGUCCGGAAUUAUUGGGCGUAAAGAGCUCGUAGGCGGCCUGUUGCGUCUGCUGUGAAAUCCCGGGGCUUAACCCCGGGCGUGCAGUGGAUACGGGCAGGCUGGAGGCAGGCAGGGGAGAAUGGAAUUCCCGGUGUAGCGGUGAAAUGCACAGAUAUCGGGAGGAACACCGGUGGCGAAGGCGGUUCUCUGGGCCUGUUCUGACGCUGAGGAGCGAAAGCGUGGGGAGCGAACAGG
This 253-nucleotide ribosomal RNA is filed under the name uncultured bacterium. RNAcentral describes it as "partial 16S ribosomal RNA". It matches the Rfam family "Bacterial small subunit ribosomal RNA", at positions 524 to 776 of the family's 1533-position model. The record is from RNAcentral.